This 425-nucleotide ribosomal RNA is filed under the name uncultured bacterium. RNAcentral describes it as "partial 16S ribosomal RNA". It matches the Rfam family "Bacterial small subunit ribosomal RNA", at positions 354 to 796 of the family's 1533-position model. The record is from RNAcentral.
GUUAGGAAUAUUGGACAAUGGGCGCAAGCCUGAUCCAGCCAUGCCGCGUGAGUGAUGAAGGCCUUCGGGUUGUAAAGCUCUUUAGUCCACGAAUAUAAUGACUGUAGUGGAAGAAUAAGCCCCGGCUAACUUCGUGCCAGCAGCCGCGGUAAUACGAAGGGGGCGAGCGUUAUUCGGAAUCACUGGGCGUAAAGCGUACGUAGGCUGUUUUGUAAGUCAGAAGUGAAAGCCCAGGGCUUAACCCUGGAAUUGCUUUUGAAACUACAAGACUCGAAUUCGGGAGAGGAUAGCGGAAUUGUCAGUGUAGCAGUGAAAUGCGUAGAUAUUGACAGGAACACCAGUGGCGCAAGCGGCUAUCUGGACCGAUAUUGACGCUGAGGCACGAAAGCGUGGGGAGCAAACAGGAUUAGAUACCCCGGUAGUCC